Molecule: long non-coding RNA, 1451 nt
Filed under: Prunus persica (peach)
Lineage: Eukaryota; Viridiplantae; Streptophyta; Magnoliopsida; Rosales; Rosaceae
Description: long non-coding RNA (PPER_LNC001374)
Source: RNAcentral
GAGACCCUUAUCAAGGAGCUUGACUGUGUUAGGAAGAUUUUUAGGAGAAGCGAUGAUUUUAAAGGCCGCGAACUGCAUAUUAAGGCUGAGGAGAUUAUCUCCAAGCUUGGAAGCCAAAUGAUGUCUCCCUCAGAUGCCUGCAAUUUCAUUAUUCAGUUCUUUAACUGUAAGUCCCCAAGAUUUUCGUCUUUCCUUUUCUAUUUCAACUUUCAUAUUUAUUCAUUUACUUGCUAUUUGUUGUUAGCCCUCAUUGUAAUUAGCUGAAAUUUUAAAAUGCAUGUCUUGGACAGUGAGUAUGGUUCUCUCAUGGAGCAUGAACUGCCUUGCUCAUAAACUUGGCUUAUUCCUUCCAUGUUGGGAAUGAUCUCUUAUAACUACUGUAAUGAAAUUAUAGGGAGGGCUAGGGUCAGACUCCACCCAAAUAUAAGUGGAGGAGAAAAAUGUGGUGAGGUGAAAGAAAGAGUACGUGGGAACAGUAAAGGGGACCUUGAUUGGGUACUCUAUGGCUCAUAUUCGAUGGCUAGUGUAAUUGGAACUAUUUUGAAAAGAAUACUCUCUGAAUUGCUUAAUUGAGGAUUGUGACGGCUUCACCGCACGUUAGCUACUCUUUUGUUUUCUCUCUGGCCUUUUUUCUUCUUUCCUUUUGGUUUCACUGUCAAUUCAUCUCCAUACCGCCUGAGUUUAGAUAUUGUGAAAGGUUUUUCUUGUGAGAAGUUGAUAAUGUCCAAGAAUUGUGUAUAUUUUUGUUCUAACAUGUCUGUAACUUAAGUAUAUGAGUUAUUCAGUAUCUAUUCAUGCCUAACUCUGGAUUUUUUUUUUCGUUGUUAAAUAGAUACAGAUGGAGUGUCAGAAUAUCCUGCUUCUCGCAUAUCCACGAAAGAGUUGGCAGUCACUCAAGCUAGCCUGAGAAAAGAUGCAACUCCUUUUUCACAAUCCGCUUCUUUACCUCCGAAAUAUGCUGCUUAUAACACAAGUUCUAGUAUACAAUGUGAUUUAUUGUCAAAUGAUACCCGUCAGAAUGACCUCAAAUCAUCCCUCAUAAGCAACGAGGAUGAGUUCCAGUUCGGAACAUUACCAAAAAUAGAUGGGUUUGAGAGCUUGGAAAGCAUAGUGAGGAUAAAGGAAGCAGAAGCAAGAAUGUUCCAGGGCAAGGCAGAUGAAGCGCGGAGAGAGGCAGAAGGGUACCGUCAGAUGAUUCAAACAAAGACGGAUAAGUUGGAGGAAGAGUAUGCUAAAAAGUUUUCCAAACUGUGUCUGCAAGAGACAGAGGAAAGGCGAAGGAAGAAAUUGGAGGAGCUGAAAAUUUUGGAAAGUUCACAUUGUGACUAUUACAACAUGAAGACUAGGAUGCAAGCCGAGAUUGCUGGCUUGUUGGAGAGAAUGGAAGCAACAAAGCAGCAACGGGUGUAGUUUCUUUUGUUCUUUGAUUUUUUUGUUUCUUUUGACAAUGG